AUUGAACGCUGGCGGCAUGCCUUACACAUGCCAGUCGAACGGCAGCACGGGUGCUUGCACCUGGUGGCGAGUGGCGAACGGGUGAGUGAUACAUCGGAACAUGUCCUGUAGUGGGGGAUAGCCCGGCGAAAGCCGGAUUAAUACCGCAUACGAUCUACGGAUGAAAGCGGGGGACCUUCGGGCCUCGCGCUAUAGGGUUGGCCGAUGGCUGAUUAGCUAGUUGGUGGGGUAAAGGCCUACCAAGGCGACGAUCAGUAGCUGGUCUGAGAGGACGACCAGCCACACUGGGACUGAGACACGGCCCAGACUCCUACGGGAGGCAGCAGUGGGGAAUUUUGGACAAUGGGCGAAAGCCUGAUCCAGCAAUGCCGCGUGUGUGAAGAAGGCCUUCGGGUUGUAAAGCACUUUUGUCCGGAAAGAAAUCCUUGGCCCUAAUACGGUCGGGGGAUGACGGUACCGGAAGAAUAAGCACCGGCUAACUACGUG
Molecule: ribosomal RNA, 486 nt
Filed under: uncultured bacterium
Lineage: Bacteria
Description: partial 16S ribosomal RNA
Rfam family: Bacterial small subunit ribosomal RNA
Source: RNAcentral